CAGCCGCCGCGGGAAUACGUAGGGCGCGAGCGUUAAUCGGAAUUACUGGGCGUAAAGCGUGCGCAGGCGGUUCGUUAAGACAGAUGUGAAAUCCCCGGGCUUAACCUGGGAACUGCAUUUGUGACUGGCGAGCUAGAGUAUGGCAGAGGGGGGUAGAAUUCCACGUGUAGCAGUGAAAUGCGUAGAGAUGUGGAGGAAUACCGAUGGCGAAGGCAGCCCCCUGGGCCAAUACUGACGCUCAUGCACGAAAGCGUGGGGAGCAAACAGGAUUAGAUACCCCAGUAGUCCCUGUCUCUUAUAA
RNAcentral lists this ribosomal RNA (301 nucleotides) under uncultured bacterium. Its description in RNAcentral is "partial 16S ribosomal RNA". It matches the Rfam family "Bacterial small subunit ribosomal RNA", at positions 509 to 809 of the family's 1533-position model. The record is from RNAcentral.